AUGGCAUCUACGUCCAUAGAAGUGUCUGCAAAGUGGAGAAUUAAUGUGGCUUGUCAGAACAUCUUGGGAUCAGAAGAUUAGAGUGAGAUCUUCCAAGAAUUAUUAGAAUUCCAUCUCUAAUACUGCCUGCUCUGGAGGGACCUGGGUGCCAUCUUUUGAAAUGCAAUCAUUAAGGAAGAUGCAACCCGAAUCUCCCAGUGUCUGUGGGAGGGCAGGAGCUUAACCAAGUCAAAAGAGCCCAUCAAUGCCAUCCCCUCAGAUCAGUCCUGAGGCAGAGUUGGGAAUGGAGAAGUGAAACUUCUUGGUUUCUGUUGGUCUGGAGGAGCAAAUGUAAGAUAUUUGGCACAGAUAAAAGUGGAAAAACAGGGACAAAAAGGAAGAUUAAGGACUUGAAAACCCAGAGAGGAUGUGGGACACUAAGGAGCUGAGAAAAAGAAGAUAAAGGACAGAAGGAAAGAAAUCUGAAGUAAGGAGCUAAGAGAAGCAGAAGGUCAGUGGUUUCUGAAUGUGGAGUUCUCACUGUGCAGUCCUCCUAGAAUCUGUCAAACCAUUAAAUAAAAAUUCCCAUAAACAUUAUAAAUAGAAGCAAUGAAGAAAUACGCCUUUAGGGAAACCAGGAUCUUUGGUGAAUUUGGCAAAUUGUCAUUGACAAUGAUCUUUUGGCAAAUGGAAUAGACUUUCAAUAAAUUGAUUUUACUGAAAUCAGACUGCUUCCCAGGAAAGUUGUUAAUUAGAGAAGCUUGCAGAACAUUAGUUUUGGUUUGGCAGAAUAUUUAGUAUCUGAUAGGGAAUAUUGGUGU
RNAcentral lists this long non-coding RNA (800 nucleotides) under Callithrix jacchus (white-tufted-ear marmoset). RNAcentral's name for it is "lncRNA (ENSCJAG00000081724.1)". Lineage: Eukaryota; Metazoa; Chordata; Mammalia; Primates; Cebidae. The record is from RNAcentral.